Molecule: transfer RNA, 63 nt
Filed under: Lasioglossum xanthopus
Lineage: Eukaryota; Metazoa; Arthropoda; Insecta; Hymenoptera; Halictidae
Description: tRNA-Thr
Source: RNAcentral
AGCUAAAUAGUUUAAAUAAAACAUUAAUUUUGUAAAUUAAUAUUAAAGUCUUUUUUUUAGCUA